UUUUUAGGGCUCAACUUCUUCUUCUUGGUUGGAGGUUCAAUAAUCAUCGAUCUUUGUACACACAAGGUGAUGAUGAUAAUGAUUAUCAGAAAUCUUUCUUUUCUUUUAUCUUCCUUCUCUGAUUCAAUCUGUCUCUCGUUCUCUUCUCUAUUCCGAGAAACCCUGAGCUCGUUCUCUUCUCUAUUCUGAGAAACCCUGAGCUCUAUUGGCCGUAUUCUUUUAAAACCCGUACCAAAAAUUCAGUAGCCAAAAAUUGAGAUGAAGAACUAAAACUAAUGAACAAGAAGACGACUUCUGGAACUUCUAAAAGAUUGUGGGAUGUAAGGAGUGGGAAGAUCAUGCACACAAUAGAACUAGUUCACCUGUGAAAAGUACUGAAGUUAGUCAGGAUGGUCGUUAUAUCACCACUGCAGAUGGUCCCACUGUUAAAUUUUGGGAUGCAAAUCAUGACUAGUGAAGAGCUAUGACAUGUCAUGCACUGUGGAAUCGGCUUCAUUGGAACCGAAGCAUGGCAAUAAGUUUGUAGAUGCUGGAGAAGACAUGUGGAUACAACUGUUUGAUUUCCGUACAGGCGAGGAUAUUGUUGAAAGGGAUGGUAUUCGAGAUGGUGAAGGUAUUGCUGUAUAGUAGUACGGAAGGUGUGGGUGAUGGUGUAGUGACUUAUAGUAGUAUAUAUAGAGCCAGUUCUGGAGAUGGUGCAGAUGAUUAUGUUAGAAGGAGCAAAAGCUAGAACAGAGACUGUUGAUGCGUUGAGAAGUGGAUCUGUUGCAAUGAAGGCUAUGCAAAAAGCAACUAUCACUACAUGAAAGUUGAGCAGAGUUGGAGGAACAACUUCUACAACCUGCAAGUCAUAUUCCUGCAGCUCCAGUAUAUGUACCGGCAGGAAGGAAACUGACAUGACCUGCUCCUCAAAAGAAUAAAGCUGAGGAAGAUGAGUUGGCUGCACUAGAGGCAGAGAUGGCUCUCUGAACAGCACAAGGAGCUUCUUGCUACGGAACUUGCUGAAGAGGUGAGCGAAAGAAAAGAUGAAGGGGAGGCAAAGAAGGACAAGCAUGUAGUAAGUUAUCUUUUAUAACUAAUUAAUCUUAUAAUUAGUUAGUAUUCAUGUAGUUUUCAACUUCAUUGCACGAUAUAUAACGAACUCCUAGUUUCGCAACUGUUCGCACUGUUGCGACAAAUUUAUGUCGCAACAGUUUCGCACUGUUGCGAAAAUUUGCAACCUCGACUUUCGUAACUGUUGCGAAAAUUUGCAACCUCGACUUUCGUAACAGUUCAUAACUGUUGCAACCACGCUUUGUAACUGAAAUAUGCGGUUGCUAAUUAUGAAAAAUGGUGUAGUAUAUUUUCUAAAGAUAUGCACUUUAAUUGCUGGAAAUUAAAAGCAUAUAAAACUAAAAACCUUAAUUAAAAGAUUCUCAAUUUAUUUCGAUCCGGGAUUCUACUUUAGCUAUUAAGGAAUACCUUUGAACAAUAAGAGAUAAGAUUUACUCCACAUGUUCAAAGUAUGUCGAUAUCUUUACUUUGUAAAUCCUUUUCCAUAUUUACAAUCUUGGAACCGAUUUGCCACACUUUCAGACGAGUUUAGAAUUGGUU
Papaver somniferum (opium poppy) is the source of this 1593-nucleotide long non-coding RNA. RefSeq lists it as uncharacterized. NCBI's taxonomy places the organism in Eukaryota, Viridiplantae, Streptophyta, Magnoliopsida, Ranunculales, Papaveraceae. The transcript has 8 exons. The record is from RefSeq and is a predicted model, not a curated record.